This 404-nucleotide ribosomal RNA is filed under the name Fusobacteriota bacterium. RNAcentral describes it as "Fusobacteria bacterium partial 16S ribosomal RNA". It matches the Rfam family "Bacterial small subunit ribosomal RNA", at positions 355 to 776 of the family's 1533-position model. The record is from RNAcentral. Lineage: Bacteria; Fusobacteriati; Fusobacteriota.
UGGGGAAUAUUGCACGAUGGAGGGAACUCUGAUGCAGCGACGCCGCGUGAGUGAUGAAGGAAUUCGUUUCGUAAAACUCUGUUCUAUGGGAAGAAAAGGACUGUACCAUAGGAGAAAGCUCCGGCUAAAUACGUGCCAGCAGCCGCGGUAAUACGUAUGGAGCGAGCGUUGUCCGGAAUUAUUGGGCGUAAAGGGUGCGCAGGCGGCUUUACAAGUUGGAUGUGAAAUAUUGUGGCUCAACCACAAACGUGCAUCCAAAACUGCAAAGCUUGAGUUAAGGAGAGGUAAGUGGAAUUCCUGGUGUAGCGGUGGAAUGCGUAGAUAUCAGGAGGAAUACCGGUGGCGAAGGCGACUUACUGGACUUAAACUGACGCUCAGGCACGAAAGCGUGGGGAGCAAACAGG